AUGCACAUUACCCCUGCAAGAGGUGUGGGGAUAAAUCCAACAGUGAAGUGGAUCCCUCCUCCUCCUGGGAAGAUGAAAAUUAAUGUAGAUGCGACAGUUUUUCCACGUGGAAAUUUCGGUACUGCAACUGCAGUUUGCAGAAGCGAGCAAGGCGAGUUUUGGGGAGCUUUAGUUUUUGUUAUACAUGGUCUUUCGGAUCCAUCUUCUCUUGAAGCAGUGGCUUGUCGAGAAGCUCUUUCUCUGGGAGAAGAUCUUGGACUAUAG
This 264-nucleotide ribosomal RNA is filed under the name Triticum aestivum (bread wheat). Its description in RNAcentral is "partial small subunit ribosomal RNA". Lineage: Eukaryota; Viridiplantae; Streptophyta; Magnoliopsida; Poales; Poaceae. The record is from RNAcentral.